Labeo rohita (rohu) is the source of this 1873-nucleotide long non-coding RNA. RefSeq lists it as uncharacterized. The transcript is spliced from 3 exons. The record is from RefSeq and is a predicted model, not a curated record. NCBI's taxonomy places the organism in Eukaryota, Metazoa, Chordata, Actinopteri, Cypriniformes, Cyprinidae.
CAGCCAGCAGAUGAUUGACAAGAGCUGCUGGCACUUUUGACUGUUGUUGUAACGUCUCAAAGUGACGGCUCAACAACAGGUCAUUUCCCAGGACGAGGCACAGGAGGAAGCAGCUUUGCUGUAACAUAAACAGGAUUAUUUUAAAUCAAAUUUCACAGCACUCUGAAGCAGUGCUAUGAAAGGCAGCUCUGCUUCAAAAGGGAGGGAGAACGAGAGCGAUAUUGAAAGAGUACGAGUGAAAAAUGUACUUUUAUCUCCGCGCAGGAAUAUAGAUGCGGCCCACUUUGCAAAUUGACUUCGAAGGCCGCAGUUCUGCAGUUCGCCCGCCCCUCACUUUGAGAAAUAUACAGCCGAAGUCCGAUUCUGCAAGGAUGCUUCGUGAUUUACGACAUGGAGGGAUGUGUUCCCAUCUGGGACUCCAGCCACUGCUGGACAGAAGAUUUACGGGUGCAAUGACACCACUGAUUACUUUCGGACGCCGAGGAGAAAUGGACACAGUUUGUUUUUCACCCCUUUCCGUCUUUAAGGCCUGGACUGAGUGUGGUUGAAUCCCAAGGCUUACAUUUGGGUCUCUGUCACCGAGUUUCGCUUAUGGACACACACAGGCUAACUUGGACGAGCGAUAGUCGAUAAAUCACAUACGCAGACUGAUGGAAAACCCAUACCGCUUCUCCAUCGACAAGAAACGCAGAGACAUUGUCGUGACCCCAGAAACCACACUUGCUCUAGGAGCCAUUCGACUCCAUCCUUCUCGUUUUGACAAAUUUGUGAGUCUUCCUGUGCGUUCUGAGGAGGCCAAACUGUGGACGCCCAGAGUUCAGCCAAACCCAAUACAGUCUGAAAACAAAUGCUAGAGUUCGACUGACCUCACACUGGACUAAAUGGCUUGAUAGCUUUGUAAAUAUGGCUUCUGACAAAUGAAUUUCCAUUUUUUCAUCUAACAACAACAAGAGCCCCAAAUCCAUUAAGCAAGAAAAAUGCAAAAUGAAAGACAAUGCUGCCUAACACUCUAACUCAGUCAAUAAAUCAGCCAGAAACAAUAAGUGGAAACCAUAAAUGCGGACUGGAUUGAAGUCAUUUUUCUUCACGUGGAAAUUCUCAAGACAUUUUCAAUUUCAUGCACAGCACAAAAACCAUACUAAAGACAUUUGUGUAAUAUAAGCAGGGAGGAACUCUUUUGAUGAUCGCGACAGGUCUGCGUUCCACCCAGCCCUGUGCAAACAAUGUGCCUGCCUGUCUGUCUGCCUGCCAUGCAUCCUCAAAGGGACAUGAAGUGUCUCAUAUACGUUUGACACAAAGAACGGGUUAUGUGACAUAAACCAGAUGGACUCUUCAGUAGGACCCGACGUUGUGGUUUCUCAAAGACCGCAGACUUGCUUGAUCGCUCCACCCAGGGCCUGCUUGCUGGCGACUCACUUUCAUUCGUCUUCUCGCAAGUUUGGGUGAAAAGCUUUUGGGAAGCUCUGGAAGAUUGAUGAUCCAUGGCCAAUUACUGGCUUAGCCCUUGAGUCUCACAAAGAAAGCAUGGGCUCGGACGUAAACACAUAGGACAAAGACGCAGAGGCUGGGAAUACCUGUGGCUCCAUAAUAUAUAAGUGUUUUCCCUAAAACGUUGUCUGGAAUAUUCAUCACUCUCAAGUGAAAUCAAAAUAUUCUUCAAAGAACAUAUUAAAAAUCUUCAGAUAUUAACAAUAUUUUGAUUUGAGAAUGAGACUUCAAGACUAUCUCUUAAAAUAAUCUCAUUCCACAGCCUGAUCCUGGUAUUUCUGGAUGGUGCCAUCCCGAGUGAAGAAAGGAGGGGCCGGCGCAUCUGACGCCCCGUGGUUGACGAGCACCAGGGCGCCAGGCGAAAGCUUGUUAGACAAACUCUGAC